AAGACUUUUUUUAAAAGUUCUGCUACUGGUCUAUAAAUCACUAAAUGGUUUAGAUCCUGUAUACGUGAAAGAAACCCAGUAGGGCUGUGAGAUUGACCGACCCGGGUCAAACACUGCAGUGCAGAGUCCAAAGCAAACAUCGUGAAGCAGAAUUUAGCUGUUAUGCUGCACAGAAGUGGAAAAAGUUACCAACAUAAAUGAUGUCAGACCCAAAGUGUGAAUGUGGUUAGGUCCAGGUUUAAAACUCUUUCUCUUGCUUUUUAGAGCACUUCCAAUUAUUUCUUGCAAUCUUUGCUAUUAUAAUCAUACUCUCUUUGUUUAAAAUGUUUAUAAGCUGUGUUUUGCAAUGCUUUUAAUCAUGUAAAGUACACUGAGUUACCUUGUGUACAUUUUUGGGCAACUAAUUGAAGAGCUACUGAAAUAAAAAUAGCAAACCAUAAUAAACCAAGCAUAGGCAGCGGUUCAUUGCAAAUCAACACAUGAAAGCCUUUCUCAGAAGUUAUGACAUUUGACUGAUUAUUAAGUUAAUCAUCUUCACGAGGCCCAAGGCCGCUUCAUCAAAAGAUAAAUGACUAGACCCAAAAUAAGACUUGAGGACCUUGUGUGUUAUGCGGCUAUUACCGAGCAUCCAUCUUUCCAGUUAAUCAGCAAUAGAAUAGGAGGGUUGCACUUAGAGCAAAAAAAAAAGCAGACUCCUCCACUUAAGAGGGAAUAUGAAGUACUUUCCUUCUGACCUCCCUUUGUCCAUGACAAAUAUCGCAGGAUCCUUCUCAAGGUCAACGUGGAUUGGCGUACCAUCUGCAGUGAUGCAGAUAGUGUAUCGCUCUGUUGUGGUCCAGAAAGAGCUGAGCCGAAAGGGUUUACAGUUAGGAUGCAUCCUGGGAGCCUCCCCGGUGGGAUGUUCUAUAACUGGGCCCGUGUAGGCCGGAGGGAUUUUGUCCCCCAGUUGCGCGAGAAAUACCUCAGGGUCUCCCCGGAAAAUGUGAAAAUAGAGCCAAGAUGCCUGUAAGCUUCAUCCUGUAACAAAUCCUGACUGGUAUUCUGAGCUCUCUUCUGGCUGAAAACAUAGUCACAGGCUGGAGCCGACUACACCUUGGAAUGGUCACCAUUUGUCUGAGGGCAAUUAUGAAUGGGGCAUUGAGUAGGAAUUAGUCCCAUGCUCCGUUUCAUUUUUAAUGUCGUCGUCCGGAGCAACGAUGAAAUUCUGAAAGCUGGGCAACCCCAUAGAAGCCACAAACAGCCAAAGAAAGAGCAAAGCACCCCCAAAACAUAAAUGUGCAUCUUCCAUGUUUACCACUAGGUAAAUGCAAAAUGAAACGUGGGCUUACAAAGAAAAGAACACCGUGCCUCCUUUUUAAACAAGGGAGAUAUUGUGUUGUGAUACUGGACAUACAAUACAAAAGUACUCCCAGUUGAAGUUUACUGUGAAAUGUACACACAAAUGAUAAUUAAACAGCAUAUUUGAAGACCAAAACAAUGGUAACAAUGAAACCACAUCAUUUUGUGUUUGGAAUGUGCUCUUGCUUAGUGUUAAUAUAAUGGAAAAUGCCACAGACGUGCUAACUGCCAUAAAAUAAUUGCUAUUUUUACACAUGCAGGCCGCGUGGGAACAAUGACUAUUACUGGAGCUAAAUUGAGGACCUUCUCUGUCACAUCUUCUUGGACCUAAUUCAACAUUUCUACAUGUGGACCUCAGUGCUGCCCGACAUAAUGUGACACAACGUAGUACAACACCGAAGGUGCACAACCCUAAAUUCAGA
Long non-coding RNA from Syngnathoides biaculeatus (alligator pipefish), 1760 nucleotides. RefSeq lists it as uncharacterized. The transcript has 3 exons. The record is from RefSeq and is a predicted model, not a curated record. Lineage: Eukaryota; Metazoa; Chordata; Actinopteri; Syngnathiformes; Syngnathidae.